GUUUCCUGUGGAGCUGACAUAUUUCCUGUGGAGUUCCACUCUACAGUCUUCUGCAGCUGGACCCUCUUGAUAACGAACGCACCAUAUGCACAGUGACAGCAGGAUCUGGAGACAAGUGCAUUGUGGGAUCGCUAAAUCUGAUUUUCUCCGACGACUGCUGGGAGUUUGGAGGAUUUGGCCAUUCCUUUUCCAGUGUCAUGGCGACUAACAUCGAGCAGAUAUUUCGAGAUUUUGUAAUGAAUAAAAUAAGAGAAAUUGAAGGCGAAGGUCUGCAUACCGGAGUGACCGCCGAGGGACAUUCAAACGGCAGUGUGCCAUAUUCUGUGAAGAAAACAGGCUUUGGAAAAGAGGUUGCAUUGGUAAUGGAGAAUCACGGGGAUGUAUGUGAACACCCAUGUUCUGCUGAAGUGGCAAAAUGUGCUGAGAAGACAGAGAACACAGCCAGUGAGGACGUGGCUCUCAGCAAAGAGGGCAGCAUGACACUCCACAAGAAGAACAAAAAGCACAAGCGACACAAAAGCAAGAAGAAGAAGAAGCACAAGGAGGAGAGAGAGGGUACCUCCGAAUCUGGGCUGGAGUCUGGUGCAGAGUGUCAUGCUCGUGUGAAGGGUCAGUGUCCUGGCAGAGAGAGAGUGGCAGAAGACGACAGGGCUGCUGUUGUAAGAGUACCAACAGACCAACCCAUGGAAGAAAUGGAUGGCAGACCCAAAAGGCAUAAACAUGUGACCAAAAAAAAGAAGAAGAAAAAUAAGAAAGAUGAGAAGCAUGAAAAAAAAUCUCCCCCUCGUUCCAGAUCAGAGAGCUUUUCUGGUUCAGAAUCGGAAUCAAAGUCUCCUUCAAAGAUGCCACCCAUAUCUUAUCCUGUUGUCCCUUUGGAGAAAAAUCGGGAAAGCUCAUCCUUUGGGAGCCCCCCAAAAAAAUCACCAAAAAAGCUUUCAGAGGAAAUGACACCUGUCCAGUGUGAAGUGUUUGUUCAAGUCUCUGAGCAUUCAGAAGCUGUGGGCAUUCAUGAAGUGGUUUCUUCUCAGACAACAGCCAUAGUGGCAACUAAUGUAAUAGAUAAUCAAGUGAAUAUUGCCCAAGUACUAGAUUUGCCUGAUAUAGUUCCUAAGGUUGAAAAUGCUCACAAGGAAGAAGGUAGGGUGGAUUCUUAUGUCCAAAAAGACACAGAAGAGAGCAGUGAAUCUGUGAAUAAAGAGAAAGGCCCCUGCUGUUCCCAGACCCCAAAGAAAACUAUUGACAAAUCUCAUUCCCAAAGGGUUUGUUCUUCUUCCAGGUCAUCCUCAAGAAGAAGGCGUAGUUCUGGAAAGAAACGUUCUGGGUCUCGAUCUAGAAGACGCAAAUCUCAGACUUCAUCUGUCAAAAGAUCUGAACAGAAAUCCAGUUCUAUAUCGUCCAGGAAGUGCGAAGACUCAUAUUUCAGAUUCUGUAUGAGAUAUAAGAGAUCUAGGUCAAGAUCCAGACAUCACUCCCAAUCUCGAUCUGUUGUACAACGACAUCGGUCUCAUUCAGGGUCUUUUUCUAAGUGCAGAAGGUCACGAUCAAGAUCUAAAAGGUCACGAUCUCGGCACAACCGGAGGUCUCGACCACCAAGAAGGUACAGGCACUCUAGAUCACGAUCCUCAAGAUCUCAUUCAAGAAAAUCUUGUUCCGGGUCAGUCAGGCGGACCAGGCAAACUCGGUCUAGGUCCAUUGUAAUCCGUAGGCAUUCAAGGUCAAAGUCAUUAGUCAGGAGGAAUAGACGGUCAAGGUCCAGGUCAUUGACACAAAUUUGUUCCAGAUCUAGGUCUGCAACAAGACGUCAGUCUAAAUCUCAUUCAACACAGAGAUCCAGGCAUUCUAGAUCAACACCACGAGCUAGGCGAAGAAGAUCUAAAACCUUAUCCCCUCCAUGCAGUAAGAAGUCAAGGUCACCUAUAAGACAUUGUCACUCUAAAUCUCCUUGUGGUGGCCGAAAACAGUCAAAGUCUCCCAAAAGGAACAGACGGUCCAUGUCAAGAUCUCCAACUAAAUGCAAAUCAAAAUGUAGAUCAAUUUCAGGAUUUACUUUGUCAUGUGACAAGAGGCCACUACUAACAGAAGAGAAGAAAGUCUCAGGAUCUCCUACCAGAGAAUUGGGAGACAGUGACAUACCACUUACUGAAAUUCAUGCCUCGGGAUGUAAUGCAGACAAAAGAGAGGAAGAAGAUGCAGUAUCUACAGCCAAAACUGUCCAGUGUAUGAGUUUAAAGGGAUCACAUCUAAACGAAGAAACUCCAGCAAAUCUCAGUGAUCUUAAAUUAGAACAUGCUUUUGAAGAAAUUUGCACUGAUAAUGCAAGUAAAAUAGCAUCUUCUGUUGGAUCUUGGAGGCCAAUACCCUUUCUGGUGGACAGCAAUGCAAAGCCUAACCCUAUUUCUGCAACAGAAAGUUUCAAUGUCUUCACUUCAGCUGCUGUCACACUGACAGAGCUAUCUGAAGAAUUUAAAUGUCCAACAAUGGAAAAAACUCCUCUGACUCCAUCGACUUCUUGGGACUUGUCACAUGAGACCUCUAAAGACCAUCUUCAGAAUAGGAACAAGUCAAGUUUAUCUGAAGAUGUAGGCAAAGAGUCUGAUUUCGGGUGUAGGUCCUGCUUUCCACAGUCUAACGAGCCACCCAAAUCAUUAUCACUUGGGUUGAAAAAUAGUUUUCCUGAAAUGUCAGGUCCUAUCUUGUUUACAGACAUAAAGGCUGAGUCUGAUAUGCCACUUUCAUAUGAACAAAGGUCAAGGUCUCCCAACAAGAAUGACAGUUCAGAAAUUGAAACUAAGGCAGAUUAUUCUGUAUCACACUCAACUUUGAAAGAAGAUGGGCCUCUGAUGGAAAAGAUGGAUUCUGAAGCCACAUCUCCUUUAAACAGAAAGAAAAGCCCUUUCAAAGAGGGCCUAUCAGUUUCACCAUCCUCAAGAAAAAAACAUUCAAAAUCAAGAUCUCGCUCAAGGAGAAAGAAGUCGGUGUCUACUCGGCGGAAGCACUCAAGAUCAAAUUCAACUCCUCGAAGGAGACGUUCGCAGUCAGUAUCAACCACUCGGAGGAAGAAGUCAAAAUCCAGGUCUCCUGGAAGGAAAAGGUCCCCCUCUCAAUCCUGGGGUCAGAAUAAAUCUAAAUUUACCACAAGGAGGAGGAGAUCAAGAUCUAAGCUGAAGAAGUCACGAUCAAAGUCUACUUCCAGAUCCACCAAAAGAAAGAGGACUAAGUCCAGAACACCUGUCCAAAAAAAGCACUCAAAGUCUCGCUCACCUCGGAGAAAACGGUCCCGGUCAGCAGUUCAGAGAAGAUCCAGAUCUGCAGAUAAAAGGAGACAUUCAAAAUCUCUCUCCCAGACUAGAAAGAGGAGGAUGCGCUCACGAUCUCCAAAUCGUAACCACCGUUCCCGGUCUAGAAGGUCUCGCUCCAUAUCCCGCAGACAGAGAGGUAGUUUUCGUAGUCGUUCAUUUGACCGCAGGGACAGAUGGAGACGUGAACCUAGCCAUUCUCCUGUUGUCAUCCUUCGCAAAAAGAGGUCUGCUUCACGGACUUGUCGCAGCACAAGUAAAACUCCUCCACGCCUUACUGAGCUAGACAAAGAGCAGCUUCUGGAAAUUGCCAAGGCCAAUGCUGCAGCUAUGUGUGCCAAGGCUGGCAUGCCCAUUCCUGAGAGCCUGAGGCCUAAGGCCACCCCCACUUCAGUUUCUUCCCCCCUGAACCUGCCCCUGCCUUUGAAUCUGUCAAUGGGAAUGCCCCUGGGUAUGCCUAACAUUAGUAUGAAUGCAGCAAUGGCGACUAUGACUGCUGCCACCAUGACUGCUGCCCUGACCAACAUGAGCGCUCUGGCCAACAUGCCUAAUUUGCUUAGCAUCACCAACAAACCCUCACCCACUGCCAUGCCCAACACUACCAAUAUCGAGGAGGUCAAGAGGAAGGUUACGCAGAAGGCUAACAGCAUCAGCAUCAAGGAAUUGACAGAGAAAUGCAAGAUGAUCGCAGAGAGCAAGGAAGAAAUGGCUGUGGCUCAGCCACAUAUGUCUGAUGAUGAGGAUGAUGAGAAGUCAUCUGGUGGAGGAGCCUUCCGUGAGAGCAAGGGCAUCUCCUUCAACCUGAGUAACCCUUUGGCGAAGCCAGCAGUGAGGACAGAGGCAGCCUUUGCCAAGGAAUUCCCGGUAUCUUCAGGUUCACAGCACCGUAAGAAGGAGAGUGAGGGAGACUACGGGGAGUGGGUUCCCAUUGACAGGAAGGCAGAGAGGGACAAGGCAGCCAGUGUGUCCAUCUCUGUGAGCACAGCGGGGGAGGAAGAGUGCAAGGAUAGUGUCUUCCCUGAUGCCCCCCUGCAGCCUGUGGACAUCACGCUAGCUGUGAGCGAGAGGGCAGCGGCACAGAAGCGGCUGGCUGAAAACCCCUUUGAUGUGAACGCCAUCUGCAUGCUGAGUCGGGCACAGGAGCAGGUGGAUGCCUGGGCUCAGUCAAAUUCCAUUCCAGGCCUUUUCACGGGCUCCACUGGUGCCCAAGUGCUGUCUUCUGAGGAGCUGUCCAACAGUGGCCCACAGGCAUGGAUUAAGAAGGUAAGCCCCUUUACCCUGCCCCCCACAGCCCCUGAUGGGGAUUCCUUGUGUGCUCCCAGAUGCACCAGGUACAGGCAACUCUUGCUAGUCGCACAUAUUCACUUUAAACUACUGACUGUACUUUUAUUAUAAACAGCUGUUACCUAUCAGCUUGAACAGGUGCAAAAUAUUUCUCUUAAUAAUUUAGCCUUUUGAUUAAUGUUUAAAAUUAGAACUUAGAUCAGCCAUUACCUGUGUUUCAUAGCAGUUUGUGUCCGCUCCAGUUCAGGAAGACGCCUCAUGUUGACUUGCUCUGCAAGCAUGGCUUGUACAUAAGUACACAUUGAGAAGUUUCACUCUCUUAAUGCCUUAAAAAGCAAACACACAGAGUGAAGCCUAACCCCCAACCCCCUCCCCUCAGUGUGUCACUGUGCUGUCUGUACACGGCUGUACCCGUCUCAACAUGCUCACAGUCUGCGCUGGUUCUCAUGCAUGGUGUGAGUUCCAGGCACCACUCAGUACUGGUGUUCAAUUAGAGGAACUUGGCCAUUAAUUGAUCAUUCCCUGUAUGAGUACGCUUGUUCGCUGUUGCUGCGCAUUUAAAUUUUCCUUACAUAUUCAGUCAUGUAAUCCUUUUAGUAAACAGGCACAUGCUUUGUUUCACACAGAAAGCAAUGCAUGAAAACCAGCUAGCCCCCACCCCACCCCACCCCACCCCCCCAGAAAGGCCUUUGGGAGAGUGUGCGUGCAGGGUGGGAUCACCAGUGGUGAACGCACAGGGAUGCGGGUGUGUUUGUGUGACGUUCUGUCAAAGCAGGUGCAAUUACAGGAUGGGGUCUCUCCUAUCUGCAAGGGGCCUUUGCUAAAACACAGAGGUACAGAAACAGAGAGAGAAUGAGAAAGAGGAGGAUGAGAGAUGGAAGGUCAGUCCUUGUAGCUGCCUUGUUGCCAUGGUCACUGUCAGGCCCUGUCAUUCACAAGCGAUGCACGGCCGAUGAUAAGGGGCCAAGGUACGUACGCCAACCACAGCCUUAUGUCUAUCUAUAUCUGUGUGCAUCUGUGUAUGUACAAGACAUUCUGCAAUGGCCUGACUGCACCGAGUGCUUGUUUGCAUAGUGUAUCUUCUCCGGUUAAAUAAGUCAAAUGCUCACUCAAAUUAGUUCUUUCUUUAAUAACAUUCCAAAUUAAUCUGUUACUUGCAUGUUUUAUAAAUUAAUGUUAAUGUUUUGCUCGUCUUGUUGCUAGUUUAGCUUUAGGGGCUUGGCGCGGUGCCAGCCUGCAUGACUGACAGCUGUCAUUCGGCACAGUAGUAUGUGUGUGUGGUCAACAGGGCCUACCGGCCACACUCAACUCAGGAGGGACUUUACUGCAUUGCCGUUGAGCACGGUACUUAACGUGUGGGUUUGCUGAGACAGGGAGAGGCUGCAGCUCAGAGGAGUCUCCCGUUGGCUCUGCAGGUCAGGGGUUGCCAGUCCUCUUCUCUGCCAGCUGCACUACGGAUUUCCUGUUGCU
RNA transcript from Brienomyrus brachyistius, 6050 nucleotides. It is a transcript of the gene named protein SON-like, with no coding region annotated. The record is from RefSeq and is a predicted model, not a curated record. Lineage: Eukaryota; Metazoa; Chordata; Actinopteri; Osteoglossiformes; Mormyridae. The transcript is spliced from 11 exons.